RNAcentral lists this ribosomal RNA (253 nucleotides) under uncultured bacterium. RNAcentral describes it as "partial 16S ribosomal RNA". It matches the Rfam family "Bacterial small subunit ribosomal RNA", at positions 524 to 776 of the family's 1533-position model. The record is from RNAcentral.
UACGAAGGGGGCUAGCGUUGUUCGGAAUCACUGGGCGUAAAGCGCACGUAGGCGGAUUUUUAAGUCAGGGGUGAAAUCCCGAGGCUCAACCUCGGAACUGCCUUUGAUACUGGGGAUCUGGAGUCCGGGAGAGGUGAGCGGAACUGCGAGUGUAGAGGUGAAAUUCGUAGAUAUUCGCAAGAACACCAGUGGCGAAGGCGACUCACUGGCCCGGAACUGACGCUGAGGUGCGAAAGCGUGGGGAGCAAACAGG